Molecule: ribosomal RNA, 464 nt
Filed under: uncultured Klebsiella sp.
Lineage: Bacteria; Pseudomonadati; Pseudomonadota; Gammaproteobacteria; Enterobacterales; Enterobacteriaceae
Description: bacterial SSU rRNA
Rfam family: Bacterial small subunit ribosomal RNA
Source: RNAcentral
CCUACGGCCGGCAGCAGUGGGGAAUAUUGCACAAUGGGCGCAAGCCUGAUGCAGCCAUGCCGCGUGUGUGAAGAAGGCCUUCGGGUUGUAAAGCACUUUCAGCGGGGAGGAAGGCGGUGAGGUUAAUAACCUCAUCGAUUGACGUUACCCGCGGAAGAAGCACCGGCUAACUCCGUGCCAGCAGCCGCGGUAAUACGGAGGGUGCAAGCGUUAAUCGGAAUUACUGGGCGUAAAGCGCACGCAGGCGGUCUGUCAAGUCGGAUGUGAAAUCCCCGGGCUCAACCUGGGAACUGCAUUCGAAACUGGCAGGCUAGAGUCUUGUAGAGGGGGGUAGAAUUCCAGGUGUAGCGGUGAAAUGCGUAGAGAUCUGGAGGAAUACCGGUGGCGAAGGCGGCCCCCUGGACAAAGACUGACGCUCAGGUGCGAAAGCGUGGGGAGCAAACAGGAUUAGAUACCGAGUAGUC